AAGACUAUACUUCACAGGAUCAUUUCUGUAGUCAGUCUUCUUUAUUUUUCAUUGCAAAAUGAAAAAUUUCGCUCCCGCGAUGAGGAGGUAUAUCGUUUUAUCUGUAGCGUGAGGUUUUGAGUGUUGUCUUUUUUUGGAGCAAUUCAAAGGGACAAUAUUUCUUCGAUGAUCGCUCGGUUAACACGGAUAAAACGACUUCUGAGUGGU
RNAcentral lists this small nucleolar RNA (207 nucleotides) under Lucilia cuprina (Australian sheep blowfly). RNAcentral's name for it is "small nucleolar RNA U3". It matches the Rfam family "Small nucleolar RNA U3". Rfam says of the family: Small nucleolar RNAs (snoRNAs) are involved in the processing and modification of rRNA in the nucleolus. There are two main classes of snoRNAs: the box C/D class, and the box H/ACA class. The record is from RNAcentral. Lineage: Eukaryota; Metazoa; Arthropoda; Insecta; Diptera; Calliphoridae.